Molecule: long non-coding RNA, 719 nt
Organism: Ictalurus punctatus (channel catfish)
Lineage: Eukaryota; Metazoa; Chordata; Actinopteri; Siluriformes; Ictaluridae
Source: Ensembl
ACGUCCCUCUGUGCGGAUCUCAUGUGGUGAGCAGCAAUAAACCCUUGCUUUUCCUUCUCACAGCUCUCUGUGUUUUUUGUCAUCCUUAAACUGAUGUAAGUACUUGGUGAUAUAACUUAGCUGUGUUUAACUUUUUGGAAAAUUAGAGACAACAGCACAAACAGUGCAGGACGAUAUGAGGUGGUGAAUUUUGGUACUUGUGGUGAAGCAAAUUGUAGGCUUUGUGGAUGCCUGGAUGUCCUGUGGCUAGUGAUGUGUUUGCCCAGGUGAUGAGUUUUACCCGCAGGUUGGGGGGAACAAAAGUUUUUGCACUGGGACAAGAUUCUGGGAUCUGGAGGCAGUGAGUGCACCCACAAAGCAGGAUUCAGGAAGCAUCGGUUCUUCAUUUGUCUUUUGGGGUGGAGCUGGGUGGAGUCAUGAACGGAGAGAGAGAGGGGGCCACAUCAUGCUCACUGACUUUGAAGGUCACCAGACACCCGUGCUGCCAAGAUGUUUACAUUUCUGAGCUGAUAGAAGAGGGAGCAGCUCUAGGGCUGGAGAGCUGCUGGUGCAUGUCAUCUUUUAAGCAGAUGUAGGAAUGCCUCAACCUAUCCCCCCACCCCACACUGUCUCAGACAAUUUAGACUUCUAGAUUUGUUUGUUUGUUGACAUAUUUCAAUUUCAUUUUUCCUUCUGUGUACUCUUUACUUAAAAAAUAAUUUUAAAUAAAUAAAUGCUUA